GAUGUGUACCUACCACACAAAAAAUAUUGGACUAAAAUACAUACUUGGUUAGAAAAAAUGAUAAAACAGCAUAUAGAUUUGAAACCAGAUAUAUUCUUGUUGGGUAUAUUACCAGAUCAGCAUGACAAAGGGAAAACAUAUUUAAUUUUACAUGUACUAACGGCAGCAAGAAAUGUAUUCACACAGCAAUGGAAAAAUGAAGAGAUCCCUACAGAUGAAAAUGUUAUAAAAAUAUUAGAAUGUGCUGAGAUGGAUAGAUUAACACUUAACAUAAAAGAAAAGA
This is a non-coding RNA of Pseudonaja textilis, 283 nucleotides long. The record is from RefSeq and is a predicted model, not a curated record. NCBI's taxonomy places the organism in Eukaryota, Metazoa, Chordata, Lepidosauria, Squamata, Elapidae.